Long non-coding RNA from Triticum dicoccoides, 896 nucleotides. RefSeq lists it as uncharacterized. The record is from RefSeq and is a predicted model, not a curated record. Lineage: Eukaryota; Viridiplantae; Streptophyta; Magnoliopsida; Poales; Poaceae. The transcript has 3 exons.
CCCGACUCUGCCCCGCCCUCGCCGCCAGACGCCGCCGGUGCAUCCUCAAGCUGCUAAGUUUCGGUUUGCUGCAAUGGCAGAGGAGGAGAAAAUGACAGAGGAGUUUGAUGUUGGUUGUGUCACAAAUGAGCAUGCAAGGGUUCCAACUCCCACAUAUCAAGGUGGCCCGGCUCAAGUCGAUUCGGAAGGUGAUUCUGGCUCUGAAUGUGAGCACGUCCAAGUUACACAUCUCCCGAAUCGUGUAAAGAGCAGGAAGAAGAGGGCAUGUCCUUAUUCGCGUAUGGUGGCAAGUGAGAUUGCUAAAAACAUUUUUGAGGCAAGGGAAAAGAGUGACAAAUCAAUGUGCAAAAGAGAUUGUGGAUCCAACAAGACAGGAGAUUCACGACAUGAUGGCCAUGGUGAUUGCAGACGGAGCCAAACCUGGGAGUGAUGAGCAUUUCUAUGCUUCACAUCUUUUGUUGGAAAAGAAGAAUCGUGAUGUUUUUACCUCGUUUAAGGGUCACAAACCUAGUGAGAGGCUUGCACGGAUAAGGAGGAUGUGGGAGCUCAACAGCACAACAUAGCCCAUGAACUCCAGUGGCGAGGAUGAGCAACAACAGUGGCGCCGCAGUGAUGUAGUCGUGGAGAGGCAGCAACUCAUCCAGGAGCUUCGCCGGUGGCAGCAGGAAGCCGCCGACACAGCCUUGCGGCGGCCAGAGGUGGAAACGGCCUUCUGAUCCCCUUAGCUCCCCUUUUUUAGGAUCGGUAGUUGAGGUCAUGGUAAAACUUACUUGUACGUGAUGGAUCACACAUACAGGAGAGGAAGUACCUCUCUUUUAUACGUGGGGCUAGGGAACAGGGACCGAAACCAAUAGGUUGUUUGCACCCCGGAUCACAGUGCGUGCGUGAGAGUGGUA